AACGAACGCUGGCGGCAUGCCUAACACAUGCAAGUCGAACGAGACCUUCGGGCUUAGUGGCGCACGGGUGCGUAACGCGUGGGAACCUGCCCUUAGGUUCGGAAUAACUCCCCGAAAGGGGUGCUAAUACCGGAUAAUGUCUUCCGACCAAAGAUUUAUCGCCUUUGGGUGGGCCCGCGUUGGAUUAGCUAGUUGGUAGGGUAAAAGCCUACCAAGGCGACGAUACAUAGCUGGUCUGAGAGGAUGAUCAGCCACACUGGGACUGAGACACGGCCCAGACUCCUACGGGAGGCAGCAGUGGGGAAUAUUGGACAAUGGGCGAAAGCCUGAUCCAGCAAUGACGCGUGAGUGAUGAAGGCCUUAGGGUUGUAAAGCUCUUUUACCCGGGAUGAUAAUGACAGUACCGGGAGAAUAAGCUCCGGCUAACUCCGUG
Molecule: ribosomal RNA, 433 nt
Filed under: uncultured bacterium
Lineage: Bacteria
Description: partial 16S ribosomal RNA
Rfam family: Bacterial small subunit ribosomal RNA
Source: RNAcentral